This 766-nucleotide long non-coding RNA is filed under the name Gallus gallus (chicken). Lineage: Eukaryota; Metazoa; Chordata; Aves; Galliformes; Phasianidae. The record is from RNAcentral.
GAUGAAGGUGAAACAUACAGGAUCUUAGUAUGCAGAAGCUUUUGCUUUCUAAAUUUUACAUAUCUCAUGCUGGAACUGCUUUUAUAAGAAAUACAUUUUCCAUCAGCAUUAUCCCUACCAUUCCCCACAUAGUAUACCUGGUACUGCCUUGCUUGCCUAGCACUCUCACACAAUAUAAAUCCUACUAAAACAAGACACUUGAGCAUCCAAGUAGCAUAACAGAUAUUAGUUUCGGCUCCUUGUGUGCUAUGGGAAAAGAACAAUAGCUUCAAGAGAAGACCAGAUGAGAGCAAGGAAGGAUUGACUGCUUAGAAGAAAGUGCAGAUGCUGUCAGGAAGUCUCUAUUUUCACACACACGGAGCACUUUUCUCACUUGCAGAAAAAAAGGCAAAGUGAAAGGCAUCUCCUCCCUACCCAAAGGAGCAAGUCAGGGAGUGAAGCCUGUGGGUGAAGAUCAAGACUGAGGGAAAAAGGGAGGUCCCUAGAUGAAUCAUGAGAAUCCCUUUUAAAACACACUCAGCUAUGGACAAGAGAAAACUGCAGCAGCUCCAACUUCCACCCAUUGCCUCUCAAAGCCCAGUGGCACUUCCUGAGAGCUUGGGGCCUUCACUUCCGGAGAACAAACCAGAACUGUUUCCACUGUGAACUUUUCUACUUUAAGAUUAGAAUGAAAAGUAGAUAAUUGCAGAGUUGCCUUUUAACAUUAUCUAUGACCAUGUGCAGUGUCAUUAGUAGCCAAGGUUGCUAAUCUUAUGCAGUAAUUCUG